This 430-nucleotide ribosomal RNA is filed under the name uncultured bacterium. Its description in RNAcentral is "bacterial SSU rRNA". It matches the Rfam family "Bacterial small subunit ribosomal RNA", at positions 28 to 444 of the family's 1533-position model. The record is from RNAcentral.
GACGAACGCUGGCGGCGUGCCUAACACAUGCAAGUCGUGCGAGAAAGUUCCUUCGGGAGCGAGUAAAGCGGCGCACGGGUGAGUAACACGUAGGUAACCUGCCCCCCAGUCUGGAACAACUAGAGGAAACUCUAGCUAAUGCCGGAUGAGACCACGAUCCCUUCGGGGGUUGCGGCCAAAGAUGGCCUCUACUUGUAAGCUAUCGCUGAGGGAUGGGCCUGCGGGCCAUUAGCUUGUUGGUGAGGUAACGGCUCACCAAGGCUGUGAUGGCUAGCUGGUCUGAGAGGAUGACCAGCCACACUGGGACUGAGACACGGCCCAGACUCCUACGGGAGGCAGCAGUGGGGAAUAUUGCGCAAUGGGCGAAAGCCUGACGCAGCGACGCCGCGUGGGUGAUGAAGGCCUCGGUCGUAAAGCCCUGUCGCAGGGA